AUUGAACGCUGGCGGCAGGCCUAACACAUGCAAGUCGAGCGGAUGAAGGGAGCUUGCUCCUGGAUUCAGCGGCGGACGGGUGAGUAAUGCCUAGGAAUCUGCCUGGUAGUGGGGGAUAACGUCCGUAAACGGGCGCUAAUACCGCAUACGUCCUGUGGUAGAAAGUGGGGGUUCUUCGGACCUCACGCUAUCAGAUGAGCCUAUGUCGGAUUAGCUAGUUGGUGGGGUAAAGGCCUACCAAGGCGACGAUCCGUAACUGGUCUGAGAGGAUGAUCAGUCACACUGGAACUGAGACACGGUCCAGACUCCUACGGGAGGCAGCAGUGGGGAAUAUUGGACAAUGGGCGAAAGCCUGAUCCAGCAAUGCCGCGUGUGUGAAGAAGGUCUUCGGAUUGUAAAGCACUUUAAGUUGGGAGGAAGGGAAGUAAGUUAAUACCUUGCUGUUUUGACGUUACCAAAAGAAUAAGCACCGGCUAACUUCGUG
Molecule: ribosomal RNA, 484 nt
Filed under: uncultured bacterium
Lineage: Bacteria
Description: partial 16S ribosomal RNA
Rfam family: Bacterial small subunit ribosomal RNA
Source: RNAcentral